RNAcentral lists this ribosomal RNA (207 nucleotides) under uncultured bacterium. RNAcentral describes it as "partial 16S ribosomal RNA". It matches the Rfam family "Bacterial small subunit ribosomal RNA", at positions 568 to 774 of the family's 1533-position model. The record is from RNAcentral.
CGCGCAGGCGGCUCUUUAAGUCAGGCGUGAAAGCCCGGGGCUCAACCCCGGAAGUGCGUUUGAAACUAGAGAGCUCGAGUACGGGAGAGGGAAGUGGAAUUCCUGGUGUAGAGGUGAAAUUCGUAGAUAUCAGGAGGAACACCGGUGGCGAAGGCGACUUCCUGGACCGAUGCUGACGCUGAGGCGCGAAAGCGUGGGGAGCAAACA